UACGAAGGGGGCUAGCGUUGCUCGGAAUUACUGGGCGUAAAGGGCGCGUAGGCGGCACUGUUAGUCAGGCGUGAAAGUCCUGGGCUCAACCUGGGAACUGCGCUUGAUACGGCAGAGCUAGAGGAUGGAAGAGGCUCGCGGAAUUCCCAGUGUAGAGGUGAAAUUCGUAGAUAUUGGGAAGAACACCGGUGGCGAAGGCGGCGAGCUGGUCCAUUCUGACGCUGAGGCGCGA
RNAcentral lists this ribosomal RNA (232 nucleotides) under uncultured bacterium. Its description in RNAcentral is "partial 16S ribosomal RNA". It matches the Rfam family "Bacterial small subunit ribosomal RNA", at positions 524 to 756 of the family's 1533-position model. The record is from RNAcentral.